AUUUGAAAGACGCCUGGGCGGGGACAAAUGUUCAUGUCCUAUCUAAAAUGGGUCCUUAUAAAAUGUUUUAUUGGGACAUUGCAAAGCUAGCACCAAAUCAACAGCUUAAGGUGAUCAAUGCCUACCUGAUGCACAUUGUUAAAAAGAGUAAUCAGCAGCAAAGAAGCAAACAGGCACUAUGCAUCGAUUCCUUUGAGAUGUCUAAUAUAUGGCAGGGGAAAACCACAAAACUGAAGUAUGCUGAGAAAAUUCUGUCAGGGGAGCCUCUGACUUUUUCCAGUUCAGCAUCGGCAGUUUUGAAAUACAGACAAGAGGUGGCAAUGACACUGAUUGAAGAAACAGAUGAUCUCAAAGAGCUAUGCCACUACUGCGGAGAAAGAAACAAUGGGAAAAGCAAACGUGGAAAAGGAGGAAAAGACAAGAAUGCACUACUGUCUGGGUAAGAAGUUGUUGAAUUAAGCAAAUUCUUUAUUCUGGUCCAGAUCUGCGUAUAAUGUUUGGGACAAAUCUAGUACAUACAGUCAUGUGGAAAAAAUUAGAGCACCCCAUAAGAACCUUUAUUUUUGACCAAACAUGGACAUUUAAUUUUCAAUUAAUACUAUAAUAUAACUAAACCAAUAAAACUGAAGGAAUAUCUUUUACA
Molecule: long non-coding RNA, 643 nt
Filed under: Astyanax mexicanus (Mexican tetra)
Lineage: Eukaryota; Metazoa; Chordata; Actinopteri; Characiformes; Acestrorhamphidae
Description: lncRNA (ENSAMXG00005009383.1)
Source: RNAcentral